This 1370-nucleotide ribosomal RNA is filed under the name Grapholita delineana. Its description in RNAcentral is "16S ribosomal RNA". The record is from RNAcentral. Lineage: Eukaryota; Metazoa; Arthropoda; Insecta; Lepidoptera; Tortricidae.
UGGGGGAAAAUUAGUAUAUAAAAUUAUAAUAAAAAUAAUUUUAAUAAAAUAUGAUGGGGUUAAAGUAUUUUAUAAAGAAAAAAUURUUUAAUUUAUAAAGAAUUAGUAUUGUGAAAGAAAUUUGAAAUAUUUGAAAAUUAAUUAAUUUAAUAGUAAAUUUUAAUUAUUGUAUCUUGUGUAUCAGAGUUUAUUAAUAAAGAUUUUUAUAAAAAAAAAAUUCUCGAAUUUGAAAGAGUUAAUUAGUUAAAAAAAUUAUUGUUGCAAAAAUAUUUUUCAUAAUUAAUUAGAAAUGAAAUGUUAAUCGUUUUYAAAUAUAUCUAGUUUUUUUAGAAAAAAAUUUAAUUUUAAAUUAUUUUAAUUAAAAAUUUAAAUAAUAAAAUUUUUAAAAAAUUAAAUUUAAUAUUUUAAGGGAUAAGCUUUAAUUUAAAUUUUUAUAAUAGUUUUUUUUUAUUAAUUGAAAAUUUUAAAAUUUAUAUUGUUUAAAAAUUAUAAUUUUUUAUAAAUAAUUUCAAAAUAAAAUAAAAUUUAAAAAAUUAAAUUUAAAUUUUUAUAAAAUAAGUAAAAUUUAAUAUUAUAAUUUUAGUUAUAAUGAUAAAAUUAGUAUAUGAAUAUAUAAUAUAAAAAUUAUUAAAUAUGAAUUAGUGGARAAUUAAUUAUAAGGAAUUCGGCAAAUUUUUAUAUUCACUUGUUUAUCAAAAACAUGUCUUUUUGAAAUAAUUUAAAGUCUAAUCUGCCCACUGAUAAAAAUUAAAGGGCUGCAGUAUUUUGACUGUACAAAGGUAGCAUAAUCAUUAGUCUCUUAAUUGGUGACUUGUAUGAAAGAUUGGAUGAGAUAUAAACUGUCUUAUUAUUAUUAAUAAAAUUUAAUUUUUUAGUUAAAAAGCUAAAAUAUUUUUAAAAGACGAGAAGACCCUAUAGAGUUUUAUAUUAAAGUUAAUUAUAAAUUUUUAUAUUAAUGUUAAGUUUGAAUUAAUUUUAAUAUUUUGUUGGGGUGAUAAAAAAAUAAAAUUAACUUUUUUUAUAUUAUAUAUAUAUAUAUAUAUAUAUAACAUUAAUUAAUGAAUAAAUGAUCCAUAAAUUAUGAUUAAAAGAUUAAAUUACCUUAGGGAUAACAGCGUAAUUUUUUUUUUUAGUUCAAAUAAAAAAGAAAGUUUGCGACCUCGAUGUUGGAUUAAGAUAAAAUUUAAAUGCAAAAGUUUAAAAUUUUGAUCUGUUCGAUCAUUAAAAUCUUACAUGAUCUGAGUUCAAACCGGUGUAAGCCAGGUUGGUUUCUAUCUUUAUAUACAUUAAAUAUUUUAGUACGAAAGGAUCAAAUAUUUAAAAUAAUUUUAUUUUAUAAGAAUAUUAYUAAAUGUAUUUGUUUAAAUUAA